RNAcentral lists this ribosomal RNA (253 nucleotides) under uncultured bacterium. RNAcentral's name for it is "partial 16S ribosomal RNA". It matches the Rfam family "Bacterial small subunit ribosomal RNA", at positions 524 to 776 of the family's 1533-position model. The record is from RNAcentral. RNAcentral also lists the same sequence under 1 other name.
UACGGAGGGUGCAAGCGUUAUCCGGAUUCACUGGGUUUAAAGGGUGCGUAGGCGGGCAGGUAAGUCAGUGGUGAAAUCUCAGAGCUUAACUCUGAAACUGCCAUUGAUACUAUCUGUCUUGAAUGUUCUGGAGGUGAGCGGAAUAUGUCAUGUAGCGGUGAAAUGCUUAGAUAUGACAUAGAACACCAAUUGCGUAGGCAGCUCACUACGGAAAUAUUGACGCUGAGGCACGAAAGCGUGAGGAUCAAACAGG